This 440-nucleotide ribosomal RNA is filed under the name uncultured bacterium. RNAcentral's name for it is "partial 16S ribosomal RNA". It matches the Rfam family "Bacterial small subunit ribosomal RNA", at positions 338 to 795 of the family's 1533-position model. The record is from RNAcentral.
CCUACGGGGGGCAGCAGUAGGGAAUAUUGCUCAAUGGGGGAAACCCUGAAGCAGCAACGCCGCGUGGAGGAUGAAGGUUUUAGGAUUGGAAACUCCUUUUGUUAGAGAAGAUUCUGACGGUAUGUAACGAAUAAGCACGGGUUAAAUCCGUGCCAGCAGCCGCGGUAAUACGGCGGGUGCAAGCGUUACUCGGAAUUAAUGGGCGUAAAGAGUGCGUAGGCGGGUUAAUAAGUCAGAUGUGAAAUCCUGUAGCUUAACUACAGAACUGCAUUUGAAACUGUUACUCUGGAGUGUGGGAGAGGUAGGUGGAAUUCUUGGUGUAGGGGUAAAAUCCGUAGAGAUCAAGAGGAAUACUCAUUGCGAAGGCGACCUGCUGGAACAUUACUGACGCUGAUGCACGAAAGCGUGGGGAGCGAACAGGAUUAGAUACCCGUGUAGUC